This 301-nucleotide ribosomal RNA is filed under the name uncultured bacterium. RNAcentral's name for it is "partial 16S ribosomal RNA". It matches the Rfam family "Bacterial small subunit ribosomal RNA", at positions 509 to 807 of the family's 1533-position model. The record is from RNAcentral.
CAGCAGCCGCGGGAAUACAGAGGGUGCGAGCGUUAAUCGGAUUUACUGGGCGUAAAGCGUGCGUAGGCGGCCUUUUAAGUCGGAUGUGAAAUCCCUGAGCUUAACUUAGGAAUUGCAUUCGAUACUGGGAAGCUAGAGUAUGGGAGAGGAUGGUAGAAUUCCAGGUGUAGCGGUGAAAUGCGUAGAGAUCUGGAGGAAUACCGAUGGCGAAGGCAGCCAUCUGGCCUAAUACUGACGCUGAGGUACGAAAGCAUGGGGAGCAAACAGGAUUAGAUACCCCAGUAGUCCCUGUCUCUUAUAC